This 84-nucleotide transfer RNA is filed under the name Phycisphaerae bacterium. RNAcentral describes it as "tRNA-Leu". It matches the Rfam family "tRNA". Rfam says of the family: Transfer RNA (tRNA) molecules are approximately 80 nucleotides in length. Their secondary structure includes four short double-helical elements and three loops (D, anti-codon, and T loops). Further hydrogen bonds mediate the characteristic L-shaped molecular structure. tRNAs have two regions of fundamental functional importance: the anti-codon, which is responsible for specific mRNA codon recognition, and the 3' end, to which the tRNAs corresponding amino acid is attached (by aminoacyl-tRNA synthetases). tRNAs cope with the degeneracy of the genetic code in two manners: having more than one tRNA (with a specific anti-codon) for a particular amino acid; and 'wobble' base-pairing, i.e. permitting non-standard base-pairing at the 3rd anti-codon position. The record is from RNAcentral. RNAcentral also lists the same sequence under 1 other name. Lineage: Bacteria; Pseudomonadati; Planctomycetota; Phycisphaerae.
GCGCGGGUGGCGGAAUUGGCAGACGCGCUACUUUGAGGUGGUAGUGCCCGUAAGGGCUUGGAGGUUCAAAUCCUCUCCCGCGCA